UCAGACCCACCUGAUAAGGAUUCCAGCCUGGAAAGGGGACCAUGGCAGGGGACACUACCACAGGCCCAUAAGGGCCCUGGACUAAUGAGCCAGGCAGCAACGGAGGCCUUGCAACCAGUACACUAUAUUGCUGUUGCGAAGGACCAGAUGGAGGCUGCACGGUUGGAUAUAAUGGAGAAGGUACCUGUACAGGUAGAGGUGAAACCGGGGGAACUGGUGAUGGUGCGGGAAUUUGGACACCUGCAGGUCUUCUUCUUUUUUUUUUUUUUUUCAAUUUUUGUAUAUCAUUUUUAUCACAUAUUGCCAAAAUUUUCAGCAGAGAACAUCAUCCAUAACCCAAUAUGAGGCAACAAAGAACAAAGGCGUUGAAAUGUAAUGCUUACCGGGCGCAAAGGAAGACCCACAGGACUAAGGGCCACAUUCCCCUUCGGUGCAUUAAGGUCUGAUGGAUGAUGAUAUCUACAUGAUGGACCAAAUUUACAUUCCCCUGUUUUCAUGUAAUACUGACAUUCUGGUUGAUCAGGCCUUUCAGGAUAUGGGUUCUCCUUCUGAGUACUACUACCUGAAGGAUCAACAGAGGGGCCAGAAGGUUGAUAAGGUGCAGAAUACCCAGUUGCCUGAGAAGGCAGCUGGGUUAUCCUGUAAAGCUGUGUUGGACCAACAUUAGAUGGAGUACUAGAGGGAAGUAGGGGGCUUGUUGCUUGAGCCUGCACCAAGUGAUUGACAUCUUUAAUGAUUACACAUAUAAUGCGAGUAAGCAAUCAAAACAAGAUGUCAGACCCACCUGAUAAGGAUUCCAGCCUGGAAAGGGGACCAUGGCAGGGGACACUACCACAGGCCCAUAAGGGCCCUGGACUAAUGAGCCAGGCAGCAACGGAGGCCUUGCAACCAGUACACUAUAUUGCUGUUGCGAAGGACCAGAUGGAGGCUGCACGGUUGGAUAUAAUGGAGAAGGUACCUGUACAGGUAGAGGUGAAACCGGGGGAACUGGUGAUGGUGCGGGAAUUUGGACACCUGCAGGCUGUGGAUGAUGGAAUUU
This 1039-nucleotide long non-coding RNA is filed under the name Arachis ipaensis. Its description in RNAcentral is "long non-coding RNA (AIPA_LNC000213)". The record is from RNAcentral. Lineage: Eukaryota; Viridiplantae; Streptophyta; Magnoliopsida; Fabales; Fabaceae.